GAUGAACGCUGGCGGCGUGCCUAAUACAUGCAAGUCGAGCGAACGGACGAGAAGCUUGCUUCUCUGAUGUUAGCGUCGGACGGGUGAGUAACACGUGGAUAACCUACCUAUAAGACUGGGAUAACUUCGGGAAACCGGAGCUAAUACCGGAUGAUAUUUUGAACCGCAUUGUUCAAAAGUGAAAGACGGUCUUGCUGUCACUUAUAGAUGGAUCCGCGCUGCAUUAGCUAGAUGGUAAGGUAACGGCUUACCAAGGCAACGAUGCAUAGCCGACCUGAGAGGGUGAUCGGCCACACUAGAACUGAGACACGGUCCAGACUACUACGGGAGGCAGCAGUAGGGAAUCUUCCGCAAUGGGCGAAAGCCUGACGGAGCAACGCCGCGUGAGUGAUGAAGGUCUUCGGAUCGUAAAACUCUGUUAUUAGGGAAGAACAUAUGUGUAAGUAACUGUGCACAUCUUGACGGUACCUAAUCAGAAAGCCACGGCUAACUACGUG
RNAcentral lists this ribosomal RNA (497 nucleotides) under uncultured bacterium. RNAcentral describes it as "partial 16S ribosomal RNA". It matches the Rfam family "Bacterial small subunit ribosomal RNA", at positions 28 to 507 of the family's 1533-position model. The record is from RNAcentral.